Molecule: ribosomal RNA, 434 nt
Filed under: uncultured bacterium
Lineage: Bacteria
Description: bacterial SSU rRNA
Rfam family: Bacterial small subunit ribosomal RNA
Source: RNAcentral
AACGAACGCUGGCGGCAGGCCUAACACAUGCAAGUCGAGCGAACCCUUCGGGGUUAGCGGCGGACGGGUUAGUAACGCGUGGGAAUAUACCCUUUGGUACGGAAUAGCCUCGGGAAAACUGAGAGUAAUACCGUAUGUGCCCUUCGGGGGAAAGAUUUAUCGCCAAAGGAUUAGCCCGCGUUGGAUUAGAUAGUUGGUGGGGUAAUGGCCUACCAAGUCUACGAUCCAUAGCUGGUUUGAGAGGAUGAUCAGCAACACUGGGACUGAGACACGGCCCAGACUCCUACGGGAGGCAGCAGUGGGGAAUCUUAGACAAUGGGCGCAAGCCUGAUCUAGCCAUGCCGCGUGGACGAUGAAGGCCUUAGGGUUGUAAAGUCCUUUCAGAUGGGAAGAUAAUGACGGUACCAUCAGAAGAAGCCCCGGNUAACUCCGUG